RNAcentral lists this ribosomal RNA (254 nucleotides) under uncultured bacterium. RNAcentral describes it as "partial 16S ribosomal RNA". It matches the Rfam family "Bacterial small subunit ribosomal RNA", at positions 524 to 776 of the family's 1533-position model. The record is from RNAcentral.
GACGUAGGGAGCGAGCGUUGUCCGGAUUCAUUGGGCGUAAAGGGUCCGUAGGCGGCUCAGCAAGUCAGGUGUGAAAUCUCCAGGCUCAACCUGGAGGGGCCACCUGAUACUGCUGUGGCUUGAGUCCAGUAGGGGAGCAUGGAAUUCCCGGUGUAGCGGUGAAAUGCGCAGAUAUCGGGAGGAACACCAGUGGCGAAGGCGGUGCUCUGGGCUGGAACUGACGCUGAUGGACGAAAGCGUGGGUAGCAAACAGG